CCUACGGGGGGCAGCAGUGAGGAAUAUUGGUCAAUGGACGAGAGUCUGAACCAGCCAAGUAGCGUGAAGGAUGACUGCCCUAUGGGUUGUAAACUUCUUUUAUAUGGGAAUAAAACGUUCCACGUGUGGGAUUUUGUAUGUACCAUAUGAAUAAGGAACGGCUAACUCCGUGCCAGCAGCCGCGGUAAUACGGAGGAUGCGCGCGUUAUCCGGAGUUCUUGGGUUUAAAGGCAGCGUAGGUGGUUUGUUAAGUCAGUUGUGAAAGUUUGCGGCUCAACCGUAAAAUUGCAGUUGAAACUGGCAGUCUUGAGUACAGUAGAGGUGGGCGGAAUUCGUGGUGUAGCGGUGAAAAGCUUAGAUAUCACGAAGAACUCCGAUUGCGAAGGCAGUUCACUGAACUGCAAAUGACACUGAAGCUCGAAAGUGUGGGUAUCAAACAGGAUUAGAUACCCUGGUAGUC
Molecule: ribosomal RNA, 460 nt
Filed under: uncultured bacterium
Lineage: Bacteria
Description: partial 16S ribosomal RNA
Rfam family: Bacterial small subunit ribosomal RNA
Source: RNAcentral